UGCUGGGAUUACAGGUGUGAGCCACUGCACCUGUCUUCUGUGUCAAAUUCUUUUCCUUGAGGUCUUUAAAAAUAUUACUCCAGUGUCUUCUGGCACCCAGUGUGGCUGCUGGAAACUCUGAAACCAAACUUACUCUUUCGUCGGUGAUCUGCUCUUCAUAGAAACUUUUGGAAUUUUCUUUGAUAUUCUUGAGUUUCACUAUCAAUUACGGAUUUUAUGGAGGAAUCCUGAGAGACGUCCCAGGCUGCCUACCAUGACAUUGACCAUGCUCACCAGCAUUGAGGCUCUGCACCAUCUCCCCGUCCUGUCUGAAGCCCCUUCCACCCGGUACCGUCACCCCCUUACACUCGGGGGUGCUGGUCCGUCUACGCCUGCUGAGAGCUGCUGCCAUGAAAAGAGCCCUGGAUCUCACCCCCUCCGGCAGCUACCUCUUCUCCGCUUUCUAGAGAAACCACCUAGGAGGACUUUGUACACAUACUGGCCCCACCUCCUCUUUCCUGUUGUCUCUAAGGCCCAAGGCCCACCACAGUGCCCUCUGCGCCCCACAGUCACCCCUGCCAGGGCGCCGGCGGCCACAUCCCUCCAGUGCCCUGCAGCAGCACUCGCUCCACCAACCCCUCCUCCAGACGGGCUUUUUUGGGAGGGAUCCUGGAGCCCGAUCCUUGUCCCCCCUCCCAUCAUCCUAACCUCCUCCUGUCUUUCUUCUCCAGCUAUUUUUUUCUGAGAGGAUCUUCCCAGGCAAAGUCACCUGUAAAUCACAUCCAUACCCCAGAAGCUCCCAAAAUCUCAUCUUCAGCCCAGACCUGAAUACUGGGUCAGCUGACAUCUUACCUGGGCAUCACACACUUUCUGCAGCCUCGGCAUCCACACCAGGACUUUGCUUUCCCGGACAAGGUGCUCUUCCUCCUGUUACCUCCAUCUCGGUACCAGGGGCUGCUCUCCUUCCAGUUGUUGAAGUCAAACCUCUUGGGAUUUUUCUUGUUUCCUCUUUCUCUUCAAACCCCCGUCCAGUCCCAGGGCCAAUCCUGUUGACCUACCCUGUUCAUAAUAAAGCCCUGUGCCCUGCGCUCCUCC
This is a non-coding RNA of Macaca mulatta (Rhesus monkey), 1074 nucleotides long. The record is from RefSeq and is a predicted model, not a curated record. Lineage: Eukaryota; Metazoa; Chordata; Mammalia; Primates; Cercopithecidae.